Molecule: small RNA, 322 nt
Filed under: uncultured bacterium
Lineage: Bacteria
Description: bacterial SSU rRNA
Rfam family: Bacterial small subunit ribosomal RNA
Source: RNAcentral
GAACGCUGGUUCCGUGCCUAAAGAAAGCAAGUCGAACGGAGCAGACGCAAGUCUGUUCAGUGGCAGACGCGCCGAGUAACACGUAGGUGACCUGUCGUCAAGUGGGGGAUAACGUUCCGAAAGGGACGCUAAUACCGCAUGUGGUCACUCGGUCAUACGGGUGAGUAAAGCAGGAAUGCGCUUGAUGAGGGGCCUGCGGCUGAUUAGCUAGUUGGUGGAGGUAACGGCCCACCAAGGCGACGAUGGGUAGCCGGCCUGAGAGGGUGUACGGCCACACUGGGACUGAGACACGGCCCAGACUCCUACUGGAGGCAGCAGUGGG